Molecule: long non-coding RNA, 2005 nt
Filed under: Homo sapiens (human)
Lineage: Eukaryota; Metazoa; Chordata; Mammalia; Primates; Hominidae
Description: HSALNT0119860
Source: RNAcentral
UUGAAAGUAGUGAGUUUACUAUCACUUGAGUGUUUUGUUUUGUUUUGUUUUAAGCUGGAUGACCUUCAAAUGUCAGGGAUGGUGUAGAAUGAAUGAAUUCAAGUCUUGUAUGGGUCCCUUUACCCUUACAGUUUUUGGAACCUAAGAAAACUCUGCACAUCAAUUUGGCCUGGAAGUUUUGAAAAUACUUUCCUUUUAUUAUUCACUAUAGUAACAAUUUUAACAGUUUUCUAUGAGUUUACAGCAAUAAAGAUGAUUCAUUAGAAACGUCUGUCACAGCUAUUCCUUUUUGUCCUUUUAGUUUAUAAAAUUGCAAUUAGCCAAGUAAAAUUACUUUAUCCUUGGGAUUUAUCAAACACACAUAUAUAUACUUUUUUUUUUUUUUGAUACAGAGUUUCACUCUUGUUGACCAGGAUGGAGUGCAAUGGCACAAGCUCAGCUCACUGCAACCUCUGCCUCCCGAGUUCAAGCGAAUCUCCUGCCUCAGCCUCCUGAGUAGCUGGGGAUUACAGGUGCCUGACACCAUGCCCAGCUAAUUUUUUGUAUUUUUAGUAGAAACGGGGUUUCACCAUGUUGGCCAGGCUGGUCUGGAACUCCUGAUCCACCUGCCUCAGCCUCCCAGAGUGUUGGUAUUACAGGCAUAAGCAACGGUGCCCAGCCAUAUAUAUAUAUAUAUUAUAUAUAUAUAUAUAAUAUAUAUAUAAUAUAUAAAUAUAUAAAAUAUAUAUAUGUAUAUAUAAUAUAUUUAUAUAUUAUAUAUAAAUAUUUAUACAUAUAUAAAUAUUAAAUAUAUAGAUAUUUAUACAUUUAUAAAUAUUUAUAUAACUAUAUAUAAAUAUAUAUAUUUAUAUAUAUAUUUUAAGAGACAGGGUCUCAUUCUGUUGCCCAGGCUGGUGUGUUAUGGCACUAUGAUAGCUCACUGCAGCCUUGAACUCCUGGCCAAAAGCCAUCCUUCUGCCCCAGUCUCCCAAAGUGUUGGAAUUACAGGCAUGAGCCACCAUGCCCGGCCUAUUCGGAGACUUUAAUUUCUAAACCUAGCUCCUUAUAUGGAAAAAAGUUAUAGUAAUGAGUUUUAAAUAAAAUAGCAUUCAUCAUUUCAUUUACUUUACAUGGGGUAAUUAUUUUGAAUUUUAUAAUAAUGAACACAACGUAGGUAAUUUUUGCCGUCAGGCAAAUUAGUGAGAAAAGAUACAUAUUUGUGCCUUCUGUUUGGUUAAAAUCCAUCUCACUGAAUGUGUGUGAGCAUGACAUUGAGUCUGCUAGGAAAAAUAAUAGUCAUUAUGAUCUUACUUGAAUGUUCACCUUUGCCUUUUUGCCCUUUAUAUCUGGGAGUUUUAAAGAUUAAGAUUUACUUUCUAGGCCAGGUGUGGUGGCUCAUGCCUGUAAUUCUAGCACUUUGGGAGGUUGAGGCAGGGCAGAUCACCUGAGGUCGGGCGUCCGAGGCGAGCCUGACCAACAUGGAGAAACCCCGUCUCUACUGAAAAUACAAAAUUAGCUGGGAGUGGUGGUGCAUGCCUGUAAUCCCACCUACUUGGGAGGCUGAGGCAGGAGAAUCACUUGAACCUGGGAGGUGGAGGUUGCGGUGAGCCGAGAUCAUGCCAUUGCACUCCAGCCUGGGCAACAAGAGCAAAACUCUGUCUCAAAAAAAAAAAAUUACUUUCUAUAAGGAAGGCUUACAUUUGAAUUGGGGCAAGAUGAGUUCCCAGCACAAGGCAUAGAGAAUUAAAAUGUUUGUCUUGGCCCAAACUCUUUUCUUUAUUUUACUUUGGAUUAGGAGUUUUUCUCAUGGUUAACAGGCCUCUCUCACAUUCCCAAACCCUACCAAACCCUAAGAGGCAGGUUGGGCCUCUCCCUCCCCUGACCUGUCAAGACUCCUCCAUAUGAAACCUUUUGGACUAUUAUUAUGUGGAAAAAGAGAACUUCCAUGAAGGGUCAGGCACUCCUCACUGAAGGAUCAGUGGAAGGCACUUCCAGAUUUAGGCCUUCCCAACAAUGGUGCCCUUUA